UGGGGAAUAUUGCACAAUGGGGGAAACCCUGAUGCAGCAACGCCGCGUGAGUGAUGAAGGUUUUCGGAUCGUAAAGCUCUGUCUUUGGGGAAGGUAAUGACGGUACCCAAGGAGGAAGCCACGGCUAACUACGUGCCAG
This 139-nucleotide ribosomal RNA is filed under the name uncultured bacterium. RNAcentral's name for it is "partial 16S rRNA". It matches the Rfam family "Bacterial small subunit ribosomal RNA", at positions 355 to 511 of the family's 1533-position model. The record is from RNAcentral.